GAGGGUAUAAAGUGUGUGCUUAACAGGCACAAGGACCCUGGGUUCAAUUCCCAGUACCUCCA
This 62-nucleotide transfer RNA is filed under the name Camelus bactrianus (Bactrian camel). It matches the Rfam family "tRNA", at positions 13 to 71 of the family's 71-position model. From Rfam's summary of the family: Transfer RNA (tRNA) molecules are approximately 80 nucleotides in length. Their secondary structure includes four short double-helical elements and three loops (D, anti-codon, and T loops). RNAcentral also lists the same sequence under 2 other names. The record is from Rfam by way of RNAcentral. Lineage: Eukaryota; Metazoa; Chordata; Mammalia; Artiodactyla; Camelidae.